RNAcentral lists this ribosomal RNA (274 nucleotides) under uncultured bacterium. Its description in RNAcentral is "partial 16S ribosomal RNA". It matches the Rfam family "Bacterial small subunit ribosomal RNA", at positions 523 to 796 of the family's 1533-position model. The record is from RNAcentral.
AUACGGAGGGUGCAAGCGUUACUCGGAAUCACUGGGCGUAAAGCGCGCGCAGGCGGGCUGAUAAGUUGGAUGUGAGAGCCUACGGCUCAACCGUAGAACUGCAUCCAAAACUGUCAGUCUAGAGUGUGGGAGAGGAAGAUGGAAUUAGUUGUGUAGGGGUAAAAUCCGUAGAGAUAACUAGGAAUACCAAAAGCGAAGGCAAUCUUCUGGAACACUACUGACGCUGAGGCGCGAAGGCGUGGGGAGCAAACAGGAUUAGAAACCCUAGUAGUCC